This 253-nucleotide ribosomal RNA is filed under the name uncultured bacterium. Its description in RNAcentral is "partial 16S ribosomal RNA". It matches the Rfam family "Bacterial small subunit ribosomal RNA", at positions 524 to 776 of the family's 1533-position model. The record is from RNAcentral.
UACGUAGGGUGCAAGCGUUAAUCGGAAUUACUGGGCGUAAAGCGUGCGCAGGCGGCUUUGCAAGACAGAUGUGAAAUCCCCGGGCUUAACCUGGGAACUGCAUUUGUGACUGCAUGGCUGGAGUGCGGCAGAGGGGGAUGGAAUUCCGCGUGUAGCAGUGAAAUGCGUAGAUAUGCGGAGGAAUACCGGUGGCGAAGGCGGCAUCCUGGACCGACAUUGACGCUGAUGAGCGAAAGCGUGGGGAGCGAACAGG